Molecule: ribosomal RNA, 481 nt
Filed under: uncultured bacterium
Lineage: Bacteria
Description: bacterial SSU rRNA
Rfam family: Bacterial small subunit ribosomal RNA
Source: RNAcentral
UAGUCCACGCCGUAAACGAUGGAUACUAGCUGUUCGGGGCCUUGAGCUCUGAGCGGCUAAGCGAAAGUGAUAAGUAUCCCACCUGGGGAGUACGUUCGCAAGAAUGAAACUCAAAGGAAUUGACGGGGGCCCGCACAAGCGGUGGAGCAUGUGGUUUAAUUCGAUGAUACGCGAGGAACCUUACCAGGGCUUAAAUGUAGUCUGACAGCUUUAGAGAUAGAGUUUUCUUCGGACAGAUUACAAGGUGCUGCAUGGUUGUCGUCAGCUCGUGCCGUGAGGUGUCAGGUUAAGUCCUAUAACGAGCGCAACCCCUGUCGUUAGUUGCCAGCAUGUCAUGAUGGGGACUCUAACGAGACUGCCGGUGCAAACCGCGAGGAAGGUGGGGGAUGGACGUCAAAUCAUCACGGGCCCUUACGUCCUGGGGCCACACACGUGCUACAUGGCCGGUACAGAGAGCAGCCACGUCGCAAGGGCGGGAACG